Molecule: ribosomal RNA, 382 nt
Filed under: uncultured Bacteroidales bacterium
Lineage: Bacteria; Pseudomonadati; Bacteroidota; Bacteroidia; Bacteroidales
Description: bacterial SSU rRNA
Rfam family: Bacterial small subunit ribosomal RNA
Source: RNAcentral
GCUCAGGAUGAACGCUAGCUACAGGCCUAACACAUGCAAGUCGAGGGGCAGCAUGAUUGAAGCUUGCUUCAAUUGAUGGCGACCGGCGCACGGGUGAGUAACGCGUAUCCAACCUGCCCUUUACUCGGGGAUAGCCUUUCGAAAGAAAGAUUAAUACCCGAUGGUUUCCUUUGCCUGCAUGGACAGAGGAAUAAAGAUUUAUCGGUAAAGGAUGGGGAUGCGUUCCAUUAGAUAGUAGGCGGGGUAACGGCCCACCUAGUCUACGAUGGAUAGGGGUUCUGAGAGGAAGGUCCCCCACAUUGGAACUGAGACACGGUCCAAACUCCUACGGGAGGCAGCAGUGAGGAAUAUUGGUCAAUGGACGAGAGUCUGAACCAGCCAA